GACGAACGCUGGCGGCGUGGAUUAGGCAUGCAAGUCGAACGGUAUCAUCCUUUCGGGGGUGAGAGAGUGGCGAACUGGUGAGUAACACGUAGGUUAUCUACCCUCAAGACGGGGACAACCCAGGGAAACUUGGGCUAAUACCGGAUGUGAGCAACUUUUUAGUUGUUUGAAAGGUGGCGUAAGCUGUCGCUUGGGGAUGAGCCUGCGUCCUAUUAGUUAGUUGGUGAGGUAACGGCUCACCUAGGCAAUGAUAGGUAGGCGGCCUUAACGGGUGGUCGCCCACACUGGGAUUGAGAUACGGCCCAGACUCCUACGGGAGGCAGCAGUCGAGAAUAGUCUACAAUGGUCGGAAGACUGAUAGUGCGACGCCGCGUGAACGAUGAAUCCCUUCGGGGUGUAAAGUUCUUUUAUAUGUGAGCAGUGCUUCUUAUAUUAACAGUAUGGGGAGAGAGAUAUUAGCAUAUGAAUAAGCAACGGCUAACUCCGUGCCAGCAGCCGCGGUAAAACGU
Molecule: ribosomal RNA, 509 nt
Filed under: uncultured bacterium
Lineage: Bacteria
Description: bacterial SSU rRNA
Rfam family: Bacterial small subunit ribosomal RNA
Source: RNAcentral